Populus nigra (black poplar) is the source of this 1314-nucleotide long non-coding RNA. RefSeq lists it as uncharacterized. The record is from RefSeq and is a predicted model, not a curated record. The transcript has 4 exons. NCBI's taxonomy places the organism in Eukaryota, Viridiplantae, Streptophyta, Magnoliopsida, Malpighiales, Salicaceae.
AAUUUUUCUGUAGGCAACAACAACCACAUAAGCAUCCCUUAAAUUCUUAGAUGCUCGAUGCCAAAUAUCAUCAAUGAGAGCACAACCUGAUUUAACUGUGAAAAUCUCAUUCUUCUCCAACUGCCACACUCUUCUUCUAUCGUCCAAGAGAACACAUAUCUAACUCCCAUGGUAUCCAAGGUCCCUCUUGCAGAAUCCAAGCAGCCACAUUUCACAUUCAUGGUGAUUUACAUUUCUAGUUUUACAUAUUCGUGAAAACUCUUCCCUAAUCUCAAACCCCCCUUCUGCGAGCAAGCUGAACGAGCGGCUAUCAUAGUGACCUCUUCUGGCUCUACAUUGCCCUCCACUGACAUCGAGUCAAAAAGCUUCCAGUCUCAUCCCAACACUUACGCUUAGAAUACCCAUCAGUCAUAGACAGAAAAUCCAUCUCUAGCGGGAAUUCCAUCAAACAAGUGUCAAGCAAAACCCAAACAACCACGCAGCAGAUCAUAAAACCGAGCCAACCCAUCUUGAAACAACAUAGCAGAAGCAAAACCCAUCUUUGAGCGCAAGAACAAAGCUCCUACAGUCCAUUUCAGCGCCAUUCUGAAGCAUUUGGCAGAAAAACAAGAAGCCACUAUGGCCCAUUUUGGCUUCAGAGUAGCCUCUAAUCAUGGUAUUCCAAAUAUAAGUGCUGGGGUUUUGUAUCUGCGAAAACAGAAGACGAGCAUGAUUUAUAGCUGCAAUGUGAGAGAGGGCAAAAGGCCAAGGCAAGACAAAGCUUAGGGGUAGAUUAGCCAGACUAUAAAGGAGAAGGACUUAUUUGUACUUGUUCCAAGAUUGUGAGUCAAAAUAAUACCGCUUCUUUUCCUUCAAACGCAAUCUCGUCCUACGUUCCAGUAAGCAAAUCAUGGAGACUUGGCUGUUGACCUCAACACUCUCGUCUGCAUUGACCGAAGCAUUGAACUCUUCAAUAUCUUGGAUGUGAACCAGAAUUGGAAUAUUGGGUGUUCUUGUUUUUGAUACAUGUAAAGAGGUUUGGGGCACUUAUGAUGCCUUCUGUGAAUCCCUCCAUCUGGGCUUAUCAAAAGAGGAGGAGGAACGAAGCAUGUGCUCUAAGUCCGCCCAAAGUUUCAUCAAUAAGGUCCGCAGAGAGGGAGAGCUACAUCCUGCAUUUUCUUGAGAUUUCUGCGAGGUUUUUGUUCGAAUAAGCAACAAGAUGCACGAUAUUGUUGAAGGGCAAGUCCUUCCAUGACUGUCCAAAAUUUGAAGUCAUUUUCAAUUCCUGGGUCCACACUAUAUUUUUUAUAAUAUAAUCUCUAGAAUUACGCUCGA